AAACCUUGAGUAAUUCUGAAUUUUAGCAAGGAAUCAAAGUUAAUGGGGGAGAAAGGGCUUUCUCUAUGGAUGUAUAGAAUGAAAGAGUGGAGAAAAGAGAAUCCUUACUCUCCUUAGGAAUUGUGUGAUUUGCUUAAGAGUUGUUGUUGAUGUAUGUAAUUCUGAAAUUUGAUGAUUAAAGGUGUAUGUAUCUAAUUUUCGUGACUGGAUUUAUGCAUAUAUGGUUCCCUUUAUGUGUGUAUGCUUGUG
RNAcentral lists this long non-coding RNA (249 nucleotides) under Lathyrus oleraceus (garden pea). Its description in RNAcentral is "Pisum sativum (pea) long non-coding RNA (PSAT_LNC023990)". Lineage: Eukaryota; Viridiplantae; Streptophyta; Magnoliopsida; Fabales; Fabaceae. The record is from RNAcentral.